CAGUCGCCGCGGUAAUACGAAGGGUGCAAGCGUUAAUCGGAAUUACUGGGCGUAAAGCGUGCGUAGGCGGUGAGUUAAGUCUGCUGUGAAAUCCCCGGGCUCAACCUGGGAAUGGCAGUGGAUACUGGCUCGCUAGAGUGUGUCAGAGGACGGUGGAAUUCCCGGUGUAGCGGUGAAAUGCGUAGAGAUCGGGAGGAACAUCAGUGGCGAAGGCGGCCAUCUGGGACAACACUGACGCUGAAGCACGAAAGCGUGGGGAGCAAACAGGAUUAGAUACCCGCGUAGUCCCUGUCUCUUAUAC
Molecule: ribosomal RNA, 301 nt
Filed under: uncultured bacterium
Lineage: Bacteria
Description: partial 16S ribosomal RNA
Rfam family: Bacterial small subunit ribosomal RNA
Source: RNAcentral